CUGGCUUCUCAAAAGCUUCUGGGAGGAUCCUUUUAGGUUUCAGAUUUGAUGGCCAGGCAAACAGUAAGAAGGAACACCUGAAACCACUUCCGAAGUCAGAACACCUCGAUUCUGCUUGAGGCUACUUGCCUAGAACUGCAGCAAAGAUGGCGCCACGCGCUCCCCCGCGCUCCUUUCACUGCAGAGUCAGCAGUGGUUUAGUCAUAGAACUUCUCGCGCAGGCAUGCUCUCUGAAGGGAAACCUUGCUGCUGGCGUACACACCCUAUACUAAAGAAGUUUCCAGAGGAUGGCAGUUUGCUGCGAGGGGCAGUUGGGUGGAAGCAGUGGGACUGGGGCUUAAACAUGCAGCUGAACUGUGCCAGACGUAUGCAUGAGGCUCCUUGCUGUGUGGGAGGACAGGACAGGAAGCUGGGGAUGGGGCUGAAAGGUGCAGCUCUCCCUAAAGCUGCCAUGUUCCAGCAUGCAUAUUUAGCAGUUUAAUGAUUUUAUUUCAAAACGUAAGCAAUAAAUAAAUCAAUUCUCAGUUCAUCAUAGGCAGCAUGAUCCAAUGACCAUUCAUUUAUUAAGACACCAGAUAUUUAUUGAGCACCUUCUGUGUGCCAGGGACUCUUGUUCUGAACA
Ailuropoda melanoleuca (giant panda) is the source of this 622-nucleotide long non-coding RNA. RefSeq lists it as uncharacterized. NCBI's taxonomy places the organism in Eukaryota, Metazoa, Chordata, Mammalia, Carnivora, Ursidae. The transcript is spliced from 3 exons. The record is from RefSeq and is a predicted model, not a curated record.